This is a long non-coding RNA of Pteropus alecto (black flying fox), 3403 nucleotides long. RefSeq lists it as uncharacterized. The record is from RefSeq and is a predicted model, not a curated record. The transcript is spliced from 3 exons. NCBI's taxonomy places the organism in Eukaryota, Metazoa, Chordata, Mammalia, Chiroptera, Pteropodidae.
UAUAACUCGUGAGUGGCCGGUGGAUGGGGAGGGGUCGCGCAGAGAGGGCCAUGCAAAGGGCCUUUUAGGGACACACACAUGCGCAGGGACACGCGCGGUGGCGCUCACUCGAGGGCUGUAGCACACAGUAGGAUGCUGGUCUCUCACCAGCGGACGGAAGAUGCAGCCCAAGUGCACGCGGGGAACUCGCAGCUGCCCCGCAGGAGCGCAGCGCGGCCCCAGGCUCCAGUGUUAGCUCAGAUAACCCACAGAUAACCGCCGGGCACGCACACGAGCUCACACACAGGCGGUUCUACUCACUACAGUGUCCGUUUCAUGGGGCGGGGAGGGGAUUUGUGGCUAUUUGUUCCCUGCCCUAACACACUGGGGACGUCAGAAUGUGUCGAGUGAACCGCCAUUUGGGGACAUUCAGGGACGCAGUGCACAGACGCGGGCAGCUCGGAGCGCAGUCCAGGAGCCCAGGCUGCACCGCAAGCACCGUGUGGACGCUCGCCCACGCGCGCGCUGGCACUCAGCUCCCGCAGGAGCCCCACUGGCUGCCCUGACAACUGCGUGUCCUCAUUUGCCCCCUCUGAGGUGGCCCUCCCAAACCAGGGCAGAUCUUUUUAAACGGCAGAGGGCACUGGGACCCCCAGGCCCGGAUCCUCCCUCCUCCGAUGCCUUCCUCUGAGAUGUUGGAGAGUUUGAAUUUUUUUUUUUUUUAGUUCAACUUUCCUUUUUUGGAGCGCAUCUCAGCAGAUUCAGUUCUGCCAUCUGCCAACAUCUGAGAACCCCCCGGGGAGUGCGGAAUGGCUGCGGCGGGGAGGCGGCCACGUGAUUUCCAGGGUCCUGGCCGUGCUCCCACCUCCUGCCAGCAGGCAAGGGUUACCUGCCUCCCCUGUGGCAAUCCGUCCCUCCCCACGCCCUCAGGCUGCUAGUGUUCUUGGGGAGGGCAGAGCACCCGGGGCUGACAAGAUCUGAUAAAGAGAAGUGUGUGUGGAGCUAGGAGCAGUUUGCAGCUUGGAACAGGACGUGCCUACUGCGUGCCAGGCUCUGUGGAACUGGGCAGAGCAGGAGAACAGCCCCGCCCUCGGGAACGGGCACCCCGUGGGGAGCUGACACUCAAAAUGUGAAGUCAUGUUAACACCUGUGUGCGAAAAGCCCUUCGAAGACAUACCCUGGCGUCCAAAGAGAAGGUGAAUUUCAGGACACGGGAUGAGGGAGGGGACAGAGUUCCCUGCCUCUCUGUCUCGCCCUGCCUGGGAGUCCGGAGACCCCUUCCGGGUGUCUCUCAGAGCCCCCCAGCCACCCUCGCCCCUGCCCCAAGAAACUGCACUGUCACCCCGGCUUCCUCUGAUGUCGGCGCCUUUAUUUAUGACACUGUGUGCACUUCAGAAAGAAGGAAGCAGGGACCAAGAUCAGACCCCUGUCGGAUAGGCUUGAUUAUCUCUGAAGAUAAACAACUCACUUUCUCCCACGGCUGCACCUCUGGGGUGUUCUCCCGCCCGCCCGUGGGCUUCUGCUCAAGUCUUCGCUCUCAGGCUCUGGCGAGAUGGGAACAGAGAGGUGAAUAGUGACGGGGAGACACCCAGUGCGGACGGCGGCCAGUGGAGUGUCCGCGCCGCUCCUGGGCUGUCCUCCAGGGCAGCAGUGGCAGCUGUGGAGCGGCCGAGAACGGGCUGUGCGUUCCGAUGAGGGCAGAGCUCCAAGUUACAUUGUUCGGCAGGAAGGAGCAGGUGCAGAGCCGUCUGCGUGGUGUGCUUGGACAUCUGGUUUUGGACAUCCCUGCGUGCGCUUCUGGAUUUUUUCUUGCGAUCCAAGGAGGCUUCCUUUCUGGCAUCUUUGCACCACAUUUGCUGUUUCUCAGCCUCCCAGAGAAUGUCAGGAAUUAGCCCCUGGGUGGCCUGACCUCCCCGUGGGGCCUGGGGAGCCAGCGGAAGCCCAGCUCUCCCAGGGCGGUGGCCUGUGCAGACUACGAGGCUGGGAGAAGCCACAUUGCAGCGGCUACGGCACCUGGUUCUCAGGGCACCUGGCCCGAACCGCCCUGCACACGGGCCCAGAGCUCAGGCCCCUGGUCCGGGCGAGAUCAGAACCCUUGGGCCUGUCCAUGGCCGGCGACACCUGCAGUCUUGGAGUUAAGCGUGUGUCUGUCCCUCCUCGGUCCCUUCGAGCUUCUGCCCAACAGAGCCAAUAAUAAUUCUCACUUUGAAAACAUCGAUACGGCUAGUUCCCCUGGCUCAGAAGGGCCCUCCAGCCUCCCGGCCCCGUCGGGAACCACAGAAAGCCCAGCACUGCGUGUGCGAAGUGCACGGGGCUCUAAAACCCGGGGGUAGGGCCUGUCCAGCAAGCGAGAAGCAAGUUAAAAUGGAAAGAAUGCACAGCUUUGAGUCAGAUCUGGGUUCAGUUCCCAACUCUGACACCUUUCAGGCACUCCACAAACACGUAUUUAUUAGGCUGGCCCCGGGGCCCAGCAGCGCAUGGCACUCACAUGGAGCCAGCUCUCUGGCAGGCUAUGCCAUGGUCCCCUCCCCCGUCUCCUGGCUUGCCCCCUGCCCCAUGGCAGAAGCCGACUGGUGUGCUUUCCUGACUCCCUUGCAGCAAGCGUUCUGUAUGGAUUUCGGUUCCAGCAUCCAUGCGUAGUACCAGAUUCCUGAGCGAGUCCACAGGGUGGAGAGAGGGGCCAGCCGUGGGGCUGGGUGGGACAGCUUCUGGAACUGGCUGCCCGCCCAGGGCGGGGUGGCCAGUCCUGCAGUGUGUCUCUGAGUGUCGUGCCUGGACGCUCUGCUGCAGAGACAUCGGCCGCGGAGCACCCUGCAUGGAGUCCCUUCAACCCCCGGAGCCCACUCCCUUCCAUGCAAGAUUUAGGGAGUCACAAAUGAAAGAAGCAAAGAAAAAGAGAGCGUGGUUAGGAAUGGCGGUGAUCGCCACCCAGGAAGCAGCUGAGGGACAGAGAGAGCUGGAGGGCAGGAAGGAGACUGGAUGACCAGGGAGGGAGGGUCUCCCUAAGCGGGUGCCAUUUAAGAUGGCAGCCAAAGGUUCAGGAGGAGGCAGCCGGAAGGUGAGGGAACAGCAUUCAGGUGGAAGGAACAGCAGAUGCAAAGACCGUACCGCAGGAAGUGACUCGGCGUGUUCAAAGGCUGGACAGAAGACCAGUGUGGCUGGAGUGUGAGGCUGGGCAUCGGUUUUCCCCGUCUGUAAAAUGGGCUGGACCCCCUGCCCAGCCAACUUCACGGGGUGGUUGCAGGAAUUCAGUGAGCUAAGACAGCCAAUCACCCUUGAAAAUCCCAAAGAGCACUUCAACAUCGUAAGGAGUAUUUUUCAAAAGCUCUUUCUAUAAUGGGCCCUGGGCCAGCUGAUCACGUCGCAGGGGUGACCGAUCUAGACAGGCUGCAGCAUGAUGGUUAGGUGCACACACCCUGGGGCC